AUUGAACGCUGGCGGCAUGCCUUACACAUGCAAGUCGAACGGUAACAGGUCUUCGGAUGCUGACGAGUGGCGAACGGGUGAGUAAUACAUCGGAACGUGCCUAGUAGUGGGGGAUAACUACUCGAAAGAGUGGCUAAUACCGCAUGAGAUCUACGGAUGAAAGCAGGGGAUCGCAAGACCUUGUGCUACUAGAGCGGCCGAUGGCAGAUUAGGUAGUUGGUGGGAUAAAAGCUUACCAAGCCGACGAUCUGUAGCUGGUCUGAGAGGACGAUCAGCCACACUGGGACUGAGACACGGCCCAGACUCCUACGGGAGGCAGCAGUGGGGAAUGUUGGACAAUGGGCGAAGGCCUGAUUCAGCAAUGCCGCGUGCAGGAUGAAGGCCUUCGGGUUGUAAACUGCUUUUGUACGGAACGAAAAGCCCCGGGUUAAUACCCUGGGGUCAUGACGGUACCGUAAGAAUAAGCACCGGCUAACUACGUGCCAGCCGCCGCAGUAA
RNAcentral lists this ribosomal RNA (498 nucleotides) under uncultured bacterium. RNAcentral describes it as "partial 16S ribosomal RNA". It matches the Rfam family "Bacterial small subunit ribosomal RNA", at positions 30 to 523 of the family's 1533-position model. The record is from RNAcentral.